RNA transcript from Chelonia mydas (Green sea turtle), 2063 nucleotides. It is a transcript of the gene named membrane spanning 4-domains A1, with no coding region annotated. The record is from RefSeq and is a predicted model, not a curated record. NCBI's taxonomy places the organism in Eukaryota, Metazoa, Chordata, Testudines, Cheloniidae. The transcript is spliced from 8 exons.
GUUGAGCACCCAGUUGGCUACAAGAAGCUAAGAGGAGAGGCAAGAAGCCUGAAAGAAAGGCAGAUAAAUCCUAUGUUUCCUUUGGAGGCAUCUUCCCUCUCUAUUUCUGCUGCCUGAGAUAAAGCUGGGUCCCAGCCCCGCUCUCCUGUUUGUCUUCACUCAGACAAGGAAUAGGAAGUGGCUUUUUGAAUCUACAUUUGGACCUUAUCCAGCUCUUCAUUGCUACGCAACAAAGGCGGCGUUGGUGGUCGACGGGACAGAUAAGCUGUGUCUCUGCUGUGUCUUUCCCCAGCAGCCAUUGAUAUACCAUGGCCUUUCCCGGGACUGCGGCUAACAAUGUGACCCUGCUCAUCCCCCCACACAGCCCUGAUGACACUCAGAAGAAAUUCCCAAGAAAGAAUGAGGCACUAGGGGCCAUACAGAUCAUUGUCGCCUUAAUACACCUUGGCCUCGGGGGCAUCUUGUUCUUCUCCUCAAAAGAAUCUGUCCCCCUGUGCAUGGCUUCCUGGUACCCGUUCUGGGGAGCAGCGCUUUUCAUCAUUUCUGGGUCCCUCUCAGCUGCAGCUGCAACUGCAACGAAUAUCACAGAGGGUCUGGAGGCAGGCAGCAAUAUGUUGAAUGCCAUCAGCUUCCUUGCCUCAUUAGCUGGAGGAAUAAUGUUGGGAAUUGAUUUGAUUAAUAUUUGCAUUCUAAACAAGUAUAAAGUUUCCAUCCCAAUUUUGGAUAAAAUCCACUUAGUCCGCUUCCUUCUCCCUCAUCGCUGUGAAGAAAGCCCCAUCCCUUGGGACUACUGUCAGAGCAUCGGUUCUUACAAGACGGGAAUCUUGGCCUUGAUGCUGAUCUUCUCUGUAAUCCAGAACAUCGUUUCUAAAGACGCUAUCUCCUCUGACUCGGAUAAGUCACAGGAUCAUGAGGCAGAGCAAGUGUUUCCCUUGCUGUCACCCCCACAACCACAGUUCAGCAAUGGAACCAGUCCUCCAUGGCAGUAGUCUAUCAGCAGCAUCCAACAAACUCCAAGCAGCUUUCAUGGGUAAAAAGCAUAUAUACGUGGUGCCUGAAUCUCUCCCUCACGUUGCAGAUAAGACGCCCUUCUCUCUCUUACUGAGUCUGGUCCAGAGAUCACAUGUGUCUUCACAGUACGCAGAAGGGAAGAUGGGCAAUAAUGACUCACUAGCUUUAUCCAUCCUCUUGGAAAAGACCUCCUAAAUGACACUUACGCCAGCUUCUUCAAUAAUGGGUUGAAAAGGUAUCCCUUCUUGGUGAGUGGACACAGUGCAUCAUGGAAGAUAUAGUCCAGCUGGGGAGCCUGGCCCAGGGAAGAGAAUGGGGAUAUAAGGAAACUGAACUACAACUCCCAGGAAGUACCACAGUGGUAGAUUUUAAUCAAAAUAUUUCAGUUUUGGGUUUUUUAAAACUUUUUAUCAACAAUUGAAAUUUGCUUUUCUCUAAAACACUUUUCAUGAACAAUUCAGUUUAAUCAAAAACCCAAUUUUCCAUCAAAAAACAGCUAAAUUUUCAGCCAGCCCUGCUAAGAUGCCUCUCUUAAUGCAUGUGGGCAAUUCCAUUGACUUCAGAAUACAGUUGGAAUGGGUUGCCAGUUAACUAAUUUUUUUAUUGCAAACUUGUUUAAAAGUAGCUGAAAGGUCCCUAAAAACAGUUUGAAAUCUCCAGUCCUUCUCCCUACGUGCUCCCAGCUACCUCUUCUCAUCACUCCCUACCUCAAAGGCUGCCUCCAUUAUGUAUCCUUCCCUCUCACCCACCCGUUAAAUGCUUGCAGUAAUAACUCCCCACACCAUUUGCCUUGCUCAGUCAGAUGCAUUGUAGCAGAUAAAUGAACACUGUCAGCAGCCUGGUAGGCUCCUGUGUUGGAGGGAUGGGUUCAGCAGGUGAUCUUUCACCUGUAAAGGGUUAAGAAGCUAGGAUAACCUCCCUGGCACCUGACCACAAUGAUCAAUGAGGAGACAAGAUACUUUCAAAGCUGGAGGGGGGAGAAACAAAGGGUCUGGGUCUGUCUGUGUGAUGCUUUUGCCGGGGACAGAACAGGAAUGAAGUCUUAGAACUUA